UCAUUCUGUCUUUGCUUAAUUCCCAUUUUUAAUCUCAUUUUGCUUUUAAUUGUGACAAUGCCAGAAAAUAGUAAAACCUUAUAGGGAUAGGUUUAACCCACUACGUCUGGGGCGAAUUUUAACACUCAAAGGAUUUGCCAUCUCACAGGAUAGUUUAAGAAUCUCGGAUAAGUCAACAGUAUUUUGAUCGGACGGUAGCCAUUCAAACUCGUGCAAAAGGGUGGCAACCCAGAAGCUGACAGUGGUCAAACCUAAGUUCUUUCCCGGGCAUGUCCGCCUGCCUGACCCGAAUGGAGCCAGCCUA
This 304-nucleotide long non-coding RNA is filed under the name Gossypium barbadense (sea-island cotton). Its description in RNAcentral is "long non-coding RNA (GBAR_LNC007471)". Lineage: Eukaryota; Viridiplantae; Streptophyta; Magnoliopsida; Malvales; Malvaceae. The record is from RNAcentral.